GUCCACGCUGUAAACGAUGUCGAUUUGGAGGUUGUGCCCUUGAGGCGUGGCUUCCGGAGCUAACGCGUUAAAUCGACCGCCUGGGGAGUACGGCCGCAAGGUUAAAACUCAAAUGAAUUGACGGGGCCCGCACAAGCGGUGGAGCAUGUGGUUUAAUUCGAUGCAACGCGAAGAACCUUACCUACUCUUGACAUCCAGAGAAUUAGCUAGAGAUAGCUGAGUGCCUUCGGGAACUCUGAGACAGGUGCUGCAUGGCUGUCGU
This 262-nucleotide ribosomal RNA is filed under the name uncultured bacterium. RNAcentral describes it as "partial 16S ribosomal RNA". It matches the Rfam family "Bacterial small subunit ribosomal RNA", at positions 793 to 1055 of the family's 1533-position model. The record is from RNAcentral.